This 231-nucleotide long non-coding RNA is filed under the name Citrus sinensis (sweet orange). RNAcentral's name for it is "long non-coding RNA (CSIN_LNC004800)". The record is from RNAcentral. Lineage: Eukaryota; Viridiplantae; Streptophyta; Magnoliopsida; Sapindales; Rutaceae.
CACGACAGCCACGCUUUCCCCAGAACCGUGGCGUAACAUGUAAGAUCCCACGUUUGCCCAUAACGCAGCAUAACGCAGCAGUCGGAGUCCCAUACCGUCCCCCAAAAAAGCGGAAACAAGAUCUCACAAAACCACGACAGCCACGCUUUCCCCAGAACCGUGGCGUAACACGCAAGAUCCCACGUUUGCCCAUAACGCGGUAGUCAGAGUCCCAUACCAUCUCGAAGAAAG